CCUACGGGAGGCAGCAGUGGGGGAUAUUGCACAAUGGGGGAAACCCUGAUGCAGCGACGCCGCGUGUGGGAAGACGGUCCUCUGGAUUGUAAACCACUGUCCCCAGGGACGAAGAUGACGGUACCUGGGGAGGAAGCUCCGGCUAACUACGUGCCAGCAGCCGCGGUAAUACGUAGGGAGCGAGCGUUGUCCGGAAUUACUGGGUGAAAAGGGAGCGUAGGCGGGACUGCAAGUUGGGUGUCAAAUCUACCGGCUCAACCGGUAGCCGCACUCAAAACUGCAGUUCUUGAGUGAAGUAGAGGCAGGCGGAAUGCCUGGUGUAGCGGUGAAAUGCGUAGAUAUUAGGAGGAACACCAGUGGCGAAGGCGGCCUGCUGGGCUUUUACUGACGCUGAGGCUCGAAAGUGUGGGGAGCAAACAGGAUUAGAUACCCGAGUAGUC
This 440-nucleotide ribosomal RNA is filed under the name uncultured bacterium. RNAcentral describes it as "partial 16S ribosomal RNA". It matches the Rfam family "Bacterial small subunit ribosomal RNA", at positions 338 to 795 of the family's 1533-position model. The record is from RNAcentral.